AUCAACUUUCGAUGGUAGGAUAGAGGCCUACCAUGGUGGUAACGGGUAACGGGGUGUUAGGGCACGACACCGGAGAGGGAGCCUGAGAAACGGCUACCACAUCCAAGGAUGGCAGCAGGCGCGCAAAUUACCCAAUCCCGACACGGGGAGGUAGUGACAAUAAAUAACAAUACGGGGUUCUUUCGGAUUUCGUAAUUGGAACGAGUACAAUUUAAAUCUCUUAACGAGGAACAAUUGGAGGGCAAGUCUGGUGCCAGCAGCCGCGGUAAUUCCAGCUCCAAUAGCGUAUAUUAAAGUUGCUGCAGUUAAAAAGCUCGUAGUUGAAUUUCGGGACUAAUAUGUCGGUCGUGCCUCGGUACGUACUGGUAUUUUUGGUUUCUCCCUUCUGACGAACCUUGAUGUCAUUAAUUUGGUGUCUUGGGAAAUCAGGACUGUUACUUUGAAAAAAUUAGAGUGUUUAAAGCAGGCUCACGCUUGAAUACAUUAGCAUGGAAUAAUGAAAUAGGACGUUUGAUUCUAUUUUGUUGGUUUCUAGGAUCGACGUAAUGAUUAAUAGGGAUAGUUGGGGGCAUUAGUAUUCAAUUGUCAGAGGUGAAAUUCUUGGAUUUAUUGAAGACUAACUACUGCGAAAGCAUUUGCCAAGGAUGUUUUCAUUAAUCAAGAACGAAAGUUAGGGGAUCGAAGACGAUCAGAUACCGUCGUAGUCUUAACCAUAAACUAUGCCGACUAGGGAUCGGAUGAUGUUAAUUUUUUAAUGACUCAUUCGGCGCCUUACGGGAAACCAAAGUGUUUGGGUUC
Molecule: ribosomal RNA, 798 nt
Filed under: uncultured Glomeromycotina
Lineage: Eukaryota; Fungi; Glomeromycota
Description: SSU rRNA
Rfam family: Eukaryotic small subunit ribosomal RNA
Source: RNAcentral